GACGAACGCUGGCGGCGUGCUUAACACAUGCAAGUCGAACGGUAAGGCCCUUCGGGGUACACGAGUGGCGAACGGGUGAGUAACACGUGGGUGAUCUGCCCUGCACUUCGGGAUAAGCCUGGGAAACUGGGUCUAAUACCGGAUAGGACCCUGGGAUGCAUGUCCUGGGGUGGAAAGCUUUUGCGGUGUGGGAUGGGCCCGCGGCCUAUCAGCUUGUUGGUGGGGUGAUGGCCUACCAAGGCGACGACGGGUAGCCGGCCUGAGAGGGUGACCGGCGACACUGGGACUGAGAUACGGCCCAGACUCCUACGUGAGGCAGCAGUGGGGAAUAUUGCACAAUGGGCGCAAGCCUGAUGCAGCGACGCCGCGUGAGGGAUGGCGGCCUUCGGGUUGUAAACCUCUUUCAGCACCGACGAAGCGCAAGUGACGGUAGGUGCAGAAGAAGGACCGGCCAACUACGUGCCAGCCGCCGCAGUAA
RNAcentral lists this ribosomal RNA (478 nucleotides) under uncultured bacterium. RNAcentral's name for it is "partial 16S ribosomal RNA". It matches the Rfam family "Bacterial small subunit ribosomal RNA", at positions 28 to 523 of the family's 1533-position model. The record is from RNAcentral.